Molecule: ribosomal RNA, 496 nt
Filed under: uncultured bacterium
Lineage: Bacteria
Description: partial 16S ribosomal RNA
Rfam family: Bacterial small subunit ribosomal RNA
Source: RNAcentral
GAUGAACGCUGGCGGCGUGCCUAAUACAUGCAAGUCGAGCGAACGGACGAGAAGCUUGCUUCUCUGAUGUUAGCGGCGGACGGGUGAGUAACACGUGGAUAACCUACCUAUAAGACUGGGAUAACUUCGGGAAACCGUAGCUAAUACCGGAUAAUAUUUUGAACCGCAUGGUUCAAAAGUGAAAGACGGUCUUGCUGUCACUUAUAGAUGGAUCCGCGCUGCAUUAGCUAGUUGGUAAGGUAACGGCUUACCAAGGCAACGAUGCAUAGCCGACCUGAGAGGGUGAUGGCCACACUGGAACUGAGACACGGUCCAGACUCCUACGGGAGGCAGCAGUAGGGAAUCUUCCGCAAUGGGCGAAAGCCUGACGGAGCAACGCCGCGUGAGUGAUGAAGGUCUUCGGAUCGUAAAACUCUGUUAUUAGGGAAGAACAUAUGUGUAAGUAACUGUGCACAUCUUGACGGUACCUAAUCAGAAAGCCACGGCUAACUACGUG